This 431-nucleotide ribosomal RNA is filed under the name uncultured bacterium. RNAcentral's name for it is "partial 16S ribosomal RNA". It matches the Rfam family "Bacterial small subunit ribosomal RNA", at positions 29 to 506 of the family's 1533-position model. The record is from RNAcentral.
AACGAACGCUGGCGGCAUGCCUAACACAUGUAAGUCGAACGAGACCUUCGGGUCUAGGGCGCACGGGUGCGUAACGCGUGGGAACCUGCCCUUAGGUUCGGAAUAACUCCCCGAAAGGGGUGCUAAUACCGGAUAAUGUCUUCGGACCAAAGAUUUAUCGCCUUUGGAUGGGCCCGCGUUGGAUUAGCUAGUUGGUAGGGUAAAAGCCUACCAAGGCGACGAUCCAUAGCUGGUCUGAGAGGAUGAUCAGCCACACUGGGACUGAGACACGGCCCAGACUCCUACGGGAGGCAGCAGUGGGGAAUAUUGGACAAUGGGCGAAAGCCUGAUCCAGCAAUGCCGCGUGAGUGAUGAAGGCCUUAGGGUUGUAAAGCUCUUUUACCCGGGAUGAUAAUGACAGUACCGGGAGAAUAAGCUCCGGCUAACUCCGU